RNAcentral lists this ribosomal RNA (665 nucleotides) under uncultured Micromonosporaceae bacterium. Its description in RNAcentral is "bacterial SSU rRNA". It matches the Rfam family "Bacterial small subunit ribosomal RNA", at positions 136 to 816 of the family's 1533-position model. Lineage: Bacteria; Bacillati; Actinomycetota; Actinomycetes; Micromonosporales; Micromonosporaceae. The record is from RNAcentral.
CUUUGGGAUAACCCUCGGAAACGGGGGCUAAUACCGAAUAGGACCUGACCUCGCAUGGGGUUGGGUGGAAAGUUUUUCGGCUUGGGAUGGGCUCGCGGCCUAUCAGCUUGUUGGUGGGGUGAUGGCCUACCAAGGCGACGACGGGUAGCCGGCCUGAGAGGGCGACCGGCCACACUGGGACUGAGACACGGCCCAGACUCCUACGGGAGGCAGCAGUGGGGAAUAUUGCACAAUGGGCGGAAGCCUGAUGCAGCGACGCCGCGUGAGGGAUGACGGCCUUCGGGUUGUAAACCCCUUUCAGCAGGGACGAAGCGGAAGUGACGGUACCUGCAGAAGAAGCACCGGCCAACUACGUGCCAGCAGCCGCGGUAAGACGUAGGGUGCGAGCGUUGUCCGGAUUUAUUGGGCGUAAAGAGCUCGUAGGCGGCUUGUCGCGUCGACCGUGAAAACUUGGGGCUCAACCCCAAGCCUGCGGUCGAUACGGGCAGGCUAGAGUUCGGUAGGGGAGACUGGAAUUCCUGGUGCAGCGGUGAAAUGCGCAGAUAUCAGGAGGAACACCGGUAGCGAAGGCGGGUCUCUGGGCCGAUACUGACGCUGAGGAGCGAAAGCGUGGGGAGCGAACAGGAUUAGAUACCCUGGUAGUCCACGCUGUAAACGUUGGGCGC